UUGCCGGAUGUUGAUACACGAAUUCCGAGGGAAUGUAGUAUUGUGGAGCGGCCACGCAUAAUCCUAUCAUGGCCAUAAGCAAGAUUAUUACGUUCAUAUUUACCUAAAAUUCUGGAAAAGAAUAAACUCCAACUAAUUUGAGAGUAAUAAAAAAUUUGAACGGAAUUUAUGUUGGCUGAGACACCAUUCUAAUCCAAAGUUUAUGUAUGUAUCUAUCCUGUAUGUACGCUAGUGCAAUAUUCAAAAUUCCAUUAAAAGACACAUUUUUUCACGUUUGCACACAAGGAAUCAUAUAGUAGUGAUUCGUGAACUAUCAAAGAAGCAAUGAACACAUAAGUAAGAGAAAGUUCUUACAAUAAAAAUUUAGCUUAUUUUAGUUUAUAAUUAUUACUUGAAAUAAAAAUGUGAAAGCCACUCUAUAUCCACAAUGCUUCAAAAUACAAGAAAUUUGUUCGUUAUGAUACACUUAAAUCCUACAUAAUGUAAAACUAAUAUAUAAUUUAAUUUGGGAUUUAAAAUGUUGAAAAGAUUUAAAAAGUUUUAUUUCUAUUUUUUCUAUAAUGUAGGACAUAAAGUAGCAUUUUAGAAAAAGGUAGAAAUAACAUUUUUCAUAAUACAAUUUAUGGUCUUGGCAGUUAUCAUUUCCCAUUUAUACACUCGCCACUAUCCACCAAAAACUCAUCGUCAGUCCAAGAAAUCAAUUUCAAAAACUGGUGAAGGUAGCAAUAGCCAACUGCUGCGACACUAUUAUAAAUACUAAACACGAAAACUGUAACAGAGUUAUUCUCGUAAAUUUUGAUCUGUGCACACAAUUUUUAUUAUGCACGAAGUAUGUGUCGAACCACUGAUUCGCGUGCCAGAAAUUACGUUGAAUAUCUUUAUCCUCCAUAACGUCUAUUUGCAUCCUUUAUGUAUAUAUUUCAGUCAGAUCUCGUGCUCCACGACUUUCUGCGCAAAUCCACUCACCUUACGAAUACAAUACUGAAUCCACAAGAUCUAGUUAUUUCUCUCGCGCGUGUCUAACUGAAUACAAGAUCCGUUACAGUGUUACUUAUAUAGUAGCCGCCACUUCAAUACAGCUUGCUAUGGUUACCGUGGACGUUUUCUUGAUCAUUAUCCGUGUUCUGGCUCGUUCUGUCGAGCUUAUGUCCCCGACGAGGUCAUUCGUUUCCUCUUUGAGGCGUUUCAAGGGUGAGGAUCCCUUCGAGCUGACUGAUCACCACUCGCCGCCGUUUAUCCGCGACCUUCCUCAUUCUUGUGCGCUUUAUUCGCUUUGCUUCGCUCCUCAGUGACGGAGACCACGAUAUUAGACACUGGAUACGCGAUAGACUCUAUCCGGUAGAUUUUUCUCGUUAGCGUGUUUCGGGUCACGCGACAUUCGAUAGAUCCAAUUGCUAGCUAAGUAAGGCAAAGGAAAAUAUUAUCACAGUGGCUACAAAAGGGAGUACUACUCCCUGGGGAUAUUUUAUAUAUCUCUGCUCAUCAUGCGACAUCUCGUGAUCCAGUCGCUGUUGAUUAGAAAGUAGUUAAGAAUUCGUCGACAUCGACUUUGUAAUUUGUACUAUGGAUCGUUACAAGUCAGUAAAACACAAAAGUCCAGUGAAUUACAUUGGAUGGCUAUUCUGAAACUGUCCUUUCGGUUUUCACUUUGUUUGGGAGAAUAAUUCAAUAGGCAUGGCCGAUUCAUCGAUCUACGCACAGUGAAUUUGUUAAACGUCCCAUUAUAAAAACGAUCCUCUGGUUCAAAUCGAUGUGUACCGUGAGAUUUGAAAUUAAAAAUAUAAUUUUAAUAAAAAUCGAAACUGAUUUGGAGAAAUCUUGAAGAUCUCAAUUAGAAUUUCUGAAGAAGUUUAUAUUGAAUAUCAAACUGUUCUAUAUUUGUUAAUAGAACGUCUAUAAUUCAACGAGGGUUCACUAAACUGUUACUGUGCCGGUUUGCUGCAGUUUCAACCGCCCACAUAUUUGAAAGAGACAAGGGAACGGAUAUAUGUAUAAUGGUAUUUAGGUCAAUGUUACGUCCUUAUAAGCAAUAACCAGAGGCAGUGGUUACCCUUGUCGGAACAAACUCACCGACUAUAGGAAGUCGUCGUUUUUCAGCUUAUUCUGAAUAAUGCAUACACGUAAGUCAUUGGCAGAUGAAAGGCGUAAAAUAAAAGUUCUACCAGCGAAAGGAAGUUAUGUAAGUAUACGAGAGACCUUCCUCUUCAGCAUAUUACAAUUAAUUACAUACAUAUUAUCUUUCACGAGAUCACAUAAGAAGUGCAUGAAUUGGGUCAUAAAAACAUUUUAUGACGUUCGAUGAGAUGCAUUGAACGCAUGUACAUGUAAUUCCUUGACCUUGCAUCGUGUUUUACUUAUACAUUUACAAUUUACUUAAUUAGUUAACUUAAAUUUUUGCAUUAAUUUUUUACAUUAAGUUUCUUUAAUUUUCUUUGAAGAAAUUGCUAAUUGUAUCUUGUGUUGGAAUAUUCGAAAUUUGAUUUGAUUUCUUUAUUAAAGUAAAACAAAACUUAAUCAAUUUUAUAUUUAAAGUUUCUUUGAGUUUCUAAAUUAGGUGUUAGUUAUCUUAUAUGAGAAUAUGAAAAGUUGUAAGUUUCUAAAUUUAAUUAUAUCUAAUAAUUUUUAUCUUCUUUAAGUUUUGAAAAAGAUCUAUAAAAUUUCUUCUGUAAAUUUAUGUAACUAACAUAUAAGUUUCAAAUAUCGUUGUGAAGAUUGCUACUAAUUAAAAGCUUCAUUUGCCAAAUUUAUUUCCUAAAAAGUAAUUCCUAUUAUUCGAAUAUCUUUUAAAUAAAAAUUUCAACAUAUUGAUUCUUAAACCCUAUAUUCACAGGCAAACAAAAGAAGAUUUACUCUCGAAACUUUCAUGUGCUAUAAGUAACAGGUUUCGUGACAAAUAAAACAAUCGCAUAUCACUUCCGUCUUUUAUAUAAACAUCUUUUAAAACACGUAUAAAACAGAAAUACAAGAACGUUAGGGAACUAAGAUCACAAGUCAUCAAACGAUUCAGUGGUAAUAUUCAUAAGCUGGCGAGAUGGUCUUCUGAUAAACUGGAACAGCAGCAUGGGCAAUCGUUGGUGCAAAAGCUUUUCCGACCACCGGUACAG
Molecule: long non-coding RNA, 3104 nt
Organism: Bombus huntii
Lineage: Eukaryota; Metazoa; Arthropoda; Insecta; Hymenoptera; Apidae
Exons: 8
Source: RefSeq, a predicted model, not a curated record